Molecule: ribosomal RNA, 253 nt
Filed under: uncultured bacterium
Lineage: Bacteria
Description: partial 16S ribosomal RNA
Rfam family: Bacterial small subunit ribosomal RNA
Source: RNAcentral
UACGGAGGGUGCGAGCGUUAAUCGGAAUUACUGGGCGUAAAGCGCACGUAGGCGGUCAUGUAAGUGGGAUGUGAAACCCCCGGGCUUAACCUGGGAAUUGCAUACCAGACUGCAAGGCUAGAGUAUGAGAGAGGGUGGUGGAAUUUCCGGUGUAGCGGUGAAAUGCGUAGAGAUCGGAAGGAACAUCAGUGGCGAAGGCGGCCACCUGGCUUAAUACUGACGCUGAGGUGCGAAAGCGUGGGGAUCAAACAGG